RNAcentral lists this unclassified non-coding RNA (1380 nucleotides) under Leishmania donovani. RNAcentral's name for it is "gene:LdHU3.27.1040(CDS-product:Leucine_Rich_repea t_putative)". The record is from RNAcentral. Lineage: Eukaryota; Euglenozoa; Kinetoplastea; Trypanosomatida; Trypanosomatidae.
UAAUGAGGGCGCACCUGCGCGAAGCCCUGCUUGCCUCACUGCAGCGCGAUGUGGAGAAGCAUCAGCGAGUUGCCCAGCGAAAUGUGGCGCCGCCUGGCUUCGUGCUCAAGGUCCAUGGCGUGCAGCUGCAGUCAAGCGUUGCGGCGAAGGACCGCAAACGCCAUCGCGACAGAGCCGACCACACGCCUCCGCAACUAAGUGAAAACACCAUAUCGAAAGGCGAGGCGUGGACUUCCCUCGUGCUGGCUACACUGUCAUCAGUGCUGCAGCAACUCGAGAGCGACGCGCAGAAAAAGCAGAACGAGUCUGCAAAUGAAAGCGCAGCUCCGUCGGCAGUCUCCGUGCUGAGGUCCGUUGCUAGAGUAGAGAUGCGGCACUGCCGGCUGCAGGCACACCAUCUCUGCGCCGACGACCGCGGCGCAACAGACAGCGUAUCACUAGCUGACAUUCUCCUUUCCCCUCAGCGAUUAUGGAACUCAGCAGCACACACAGCGCCAUCGCCCGCAUACGUGCGCCUUGUGACCCUGGACCUUGAGUGCAACGAGCUGGGAGAUGCGGGAAUGCGGCUACUGUGCAGCGGUCUUCUCGUGCAUCUUCGUGGUCUUCGUCGUCUCCUGCUCGCAUCGAACAACAUCACCAUAGACGGACUGCUCUUCUUGGUGGACUCUGCUCGAUCACAUGAUGAGGGUCACCUGCCUCCGCACCUCGAGACGAUCGGCCUCAGCAACAAUCCACUGGGUACGCACGCACGCAGGACUGUACAUGGCCAACCCACCGAGAACGCCUUCUGCGACGCGUUCCGCACGCUGGCCUUGCGUCUUUCCUCGACGCUUCGACGAGUGCACCUCAAUCAUGCUAGUCUAAGCACGCGUGAGGUUUCGUCUGUGCUGCAAGCGCUGUUUGAGUGCGUUGUCCAGCAUUCAGGGCCGUGCGCGUUUGACAUAGUCUACCUGCGAGAAAAUGAGCGCGUCGACAAGGAGGAGGCGCUGCGCCUGCUACGCAGCAAGGUGGAGGACCUGGAAAAGCUCGACACCUUUUUGCGACGUCACGUGUCCAUGUGAGAACCCAGCAGAGCUCCCCCCCCACUCGCUCACCCAAGUCGCGAGAGAAGUUUCUGUGCGCGCGUGUGCGGCGGUGGUGCAGCAGAACAGAUGCGCGUCUCUUUCUCCCGCGAGCCUCAGAGUGCACCUUGUUUGUCUGCGAUGUGGAUCGCUUGACGGAUGUUUUUGUGCCGGCACAGAGUAGAAGGGGAACCGUAUUUUCGCGUGUGGGGGCGGAAGUGGGAUGAUCGACCUUCCCGCCCCGUCCACCGCCCGUCUUUUCCUCUCCCCCCUCACCCCGCUGUGUCUCAUCUUCUGCGCACGGAGAGACGCGAACGGU